GUAAUAUAAAAUACGGUCUCUUAGCUUUUAACUAAAAAAACUAAGAGACGUCUCUUAUUUAAGAGAUGUCUACGUCUCUUAGCUUUUUUAGUUAAAAACUAAGAGACCGUAUUUUAUAUUAC
Brassica napus (rape) is the source of this 122-nucleotide non-coding RNA. The record is from Rfam. NCBI's taxonomy places the organism in Eukaryota, Viridiplantae, Streptophyta, Magnoliopsida, Brassicales, Brassicaceae.